This 123-nucleotide small RNA is filed under the name Mytilus galloprovincialis (Mediterranean mussel). Lineage: Eukaryota; Metazoa; Mollusca; Bivalvia; Mytilida; Mytilidae. The record is from RNAcentral.
AAGAAAUAGUUCAUGGCAGCCGUAGAUUUGUUUACAUUUGACCCUGGUUUGGGCAUUUAUAUUCGUAUUUUACCAUAGUUAAAUGAAAACAAAUCUACGGCUGCCAUGCAUUAUUUCUUGAAU